CGGGACGGGGUGGAGUAAUGUCUGGGAAACUGCCCGAUGGAGGGGGGUAACUACUGGAAACGGUAGCUAAUACCGCAUAACGUCGCAAGACCAAAGAGGGGGACCUUAGGGCCUCUUGCCAUCGGAUGUGCCCAGAUGGGAUUAGCUAGUAGGUGGGGUAAUGGCUCACCUAGGCGACGAUCCCUAGCUGGUCUGAGAGGAUGACCAGCCACACUGGAACUGAGACACGGUCCAG
This 235-nucleotide ribosomal RNA is filed under the name uncultured bacterium. RNAcentral's name for it is "partial 16S ribosomal RNA". It matches the Rfam family "Bacterial small subunit ribosomal RNA", at positions 104 to 334 of the family's 1533-position model. The record is from RNAcentral.